UUUCUUGUGUAAUAUUUGGAAGGCUCCCAAUGAUAGCGAAAACAUCAUCUUUCAGCAACACAGACAUAUACAGACUGAACAACAGCAACAGAAGAAGGAAGAGGAGGAGGAGGGAGAGAAGGACAAAGAGGAGGAGAAGAAAGGGAGGAAGAAGGAGAAAAAGAAGAAUCUUCAUUGUUUUCAUCAUCACCAUGACAUUUCCAUUUUACAUGAUGUAGCAUUGAAAAGAUAUUGGCCUACUACCCAUUGCCACCCCCCUAACCCUUCCAUCCCCGCCUUCAAGCAAAGAUGCACAUUACCUAAAGUUAGGGAUCAGAAAAGCAAAAAGACAGAAAAAAAAAAAAGGUAAGUUCUCUUUGGAUUUUGUGUUCACUUUGUAAAAUUUGGUUAUAAAUUUAAAAUGUGUGAGAAAAGAAUGGGCAAAACACUGGAACUUUCCCAGGAAAUACUAUCCGCCCCCCAAAAUGCCUUGGAUUUAGAUAAACUGAAAGUUGAAUCUUAGAGAGGCAUCUGGCAAUCCACCACUGCAUGCAAGCCAGAGAAACUAUCAAGACACCACAGAGGAAAUGGAUGUAUGCAGAAUCCAAAGGCAGAAGCCAUAUGAAGCCUGGUAGAGAUUCCUGAGUUAUUGCUAUAGAGACCACUCUCUCAUCCCUCUCAGAUAAUUACUGCUACUUAUUUUCAGAACUUAAUUACACUAUGACUUCUUCAUAAAUGCCCUCUGUUAUAUGCUCUCAAGCACU
Prionailurus viverrinus (fishing cat) is the source of this 743-nucleotide long non-coding RNA. RefSeq lists it as uncharacterized. Lineage: Eukaryota; Metazoa; Chordata; Mammalia; Carnivora; Felidae. The record is from RefSeq and is a predicted model, not a curated record. The transcript is spliced from 3 exons.